UACAGAGGGUGCAAGCGUUACUCGGAAUUACUGGGCGUAAAGCGCAUGUAGGUGGGUCUACAAGUUUGAUGUGAAAGCCCUGGGCUUAACCUGGGAAUGGCGUUGAAGACUGUAGGUCUAGAGUUUGGCAGAGGGUCGUGGAAUUUCCGGUGUAGCGGUGAAAUGCGUAGAGAUCGGAAAGAACACCAGUGGCGAAGGCGGCGGCCUGGGCCAAAACUGACACUGAGGUGCGAAAGCGUGGGGAGCGAACAGG
Molecule: ribosomal RNA, 253 nt
Filed under: uncultured bacterium
Lineage: Bacteria
Description: partial 16S ribosomal RNA
Rfam family: Bacterial small subunit ribosomal RNA
Source: RNAcentral